GACAUAUACGAAUUGAAGUUUGAUGUUUUCUCUGCAGCGUGAUUUGUCAAAUUAAUAAAAUUCUACAUAGCAUGGAGCCUAUCAUUUUUGGUUUGGUGAUAUCUAUUAAAUUUUUUUUUUUUUUUAAAAAUUUCUUCAUCCACUCUGAGAGUAUAUAUAUGUUGAUUUGUUAUUUACUCUUUGGUGUUUCAGGAGAAGUAGUCAGUGAACAUAUGAUUUCUUCAGGUUCUAUAUCUUUCUCUUCUGUGAUUUUCAUGUGUUGCGUUCAUAUUCUUUUCUUGUUGAUUAUUUCGUUCUCUUAAUUCUGGAGUUCUCAUGUGAAUUUUCUGUUAUAAGGCGUUUCUAAUUGAGUAUAAGAAAAUGGUAAUGUUUUGCGAAACUUGAUACAUGACUGUUUUCUCUCGUGGAGUUUGUUUUGAAGCUAUAACUUGCUAUGUAGUAUCAAGCAAUCAGGUUCAUUUUGGCACAAUCUUCUUGAUUGUGAAUCAUUUUACUCCUUUACACCUUCGGUUUUCUUACAUUUAGUUUUUUGAUAAUGUAAUUGACAAUAAUUAUCCACGAUUCUGGACAUAUGAUGUUCACACUGUUAUCACAUUUCUGUUGACUCUUAUUUUACGGCAAAUUUGUUUUAAUGAAUCAUCAUCUCUACAUUCUGUGUUGUAUAUUAUCUACUGGUGCUAGGCUAUAAUUUGGUCAUCUCUACUAAGGCUCUUUACAUUUCAGUCUUUGUUUGAUAAUAAUCAGUAUCUACUUUUGUCAAUUUCUUUGAGUUUUUUGUGUGGGUUUGAGUGUUUGACACGGGAUAUUUGUGGCAGGCAGAGAGCUGAACUAUGGUUAUUAUUGGAGAAUGCAUUCAGAUUAUCCACAUUUUUUCAACGAGUCAUUCUUCAUUUUAAAUUUUGUGCUUCGAUUACAUGACCUAUUACAAUGAGUCAUUCUUUAUUUUAAAUUUUGUGCUUCGAGUACAUGACAUAUAAAUUGAACUUGAGCUUGCUUUUUUUUGACCAAUGAAUAUGCUUUUUCUGCAGCUUGGUUUGUCAAAAUAAUAUCUUCUGUCAACACAUGGAGACUCAAGUUUUGAUUUGCUGUUGCCUAGUAAAUUCUUUUUGUUUAUUGAUUUUUUUUUGACAAGCAAUCUUUAUUAAUUUUGAGAGCAUAUAUUUCUUGAUUUAUGAUCUACUCUUCGGUGCUGUCAGUGUUUGCGGUUCUACUUUCCUUGAUCUGCUUCAAUAAUCUAGAUAGCUAGGGAUUUAUAUAGUAACACGAGUUUCUCAGAUCUGUUGUCACACUUCGANNNNNNNNNNNNNNNNNNNNAUCAUUUGAUAGUCGAGAGAUCCUUUAUCCUUUUUGCAUCGAGGGAUCCUUUCCUCUUUCCAGCUAGCUGAGAGAUCCUGAUACAAUGGACAAAAUGGAGAAUGGCUCCACAUAGAUAUAUCAAAUUUCUUAAAUCAGUCGUUUUAUUUAUUUGAAUUUUUGGGAUUUUAUUGCAAGACAUACAUAUUGAAUUUUGAACAUAUUGUUUUUCUGCAGUGAGGUUUGUCAAACUAAUUACUCUCUUCAUAGCAUGGAGCAUAGCAUUUUGAUUUGGUGAUAUCUAUUAAAUUUUUUUCAUUUUCAAACUUUCAAGUAAUUUGUGAACACACAAUUUCUUGAUUUCUUAUGGUUAUAUUUAUCUCCCUCUUACUAAUGCUGAAUUGAAACAUGUACCCGUUUUCUGCAGUGUGUGUCUUGGAACAACAAAGUUCUGUUAGUAUCAAGCAUACAGGUUUAUUUUGUAGAACUUCAUUUUUAUUUCAGUUAUUCUGUGUUUUAGUGUCCAGUUUUUUUUUUCGUUCCAUGGUUGUUACAUGUGAUAGAUAUUGAUGUGAGAGUAGGGUUGCUGGUUUUAGCUGAAUAGUUCAGCUCAAUACUGUUUUCUUACAUUAAUUAUUUCUGUAUGACAUGUACUCUUUCUGAAUUUACACGAUGCUGAUCAGAGGCUUGGUUUGGAGAAUUAUGCUAAUCUUUUCUCAUUUUUCUUCGUUUUUUCUACAACUAUUUGCCACACUACCCCAUCAUUCUACUGUUUUCUAAUAUUUAUGUUUUUGACAUAUAAUUUGACAAGUUUACUCAAUUCUGAAGAAAGUGCGACAGCUUUGUGGGGUUUUCUUGUAGCCAUGAUCUAAACGUCUUGAUAAACUGGACAAGAGUAGAGAAUGGUUCCAGAUAGAUUAAUAAAGUUCCUUCAAUGAAUCGUUCUUAUUUCUUUUAAUUUCUGGGAUUCGAUUGCAAGACAUAAAUUGAAUUUUGUACAUGUUUAUCUGCAGUGUGAAAAAUUGAGACAACUUUGUGGGGUUCUCUUUGUAACUAUGAUUUCAGAGAUCAGCGGCUUGGUUUGAAGAAAUCUUUUUGUUGUUUUUUUUUUCCUACAACUAUUUGCUGCGGCGUAUUAUUUCUGCACAUGUAUCUUCUGUGGUGUUCGCAGGGUCUGUGGUAUACAUGGGUUUGGUGUGCAACAGAGGCCUCCUUUCUCAAUCACACUACACCUUGUUAAUUUUUCUGUCUAAAGUGGAGACAUUACUUUGUUCGGGGAGGUUUACACUAUAAUUGUCUUUCACUGUAUUGUUGUCUUGACUCUUGAUUAUUUUUCAUUCCCGAUGAUACUUCUCAAAAGAUAUACUCUUCGUUACAGUGGCCCAGGGACUUCUCUGUAUUAGGAGGAAGCUGAAAUUGUCUCUUCAUAUGGGUACACAACGAUCUUGCAAAUUUGAUGAAAUUUGUUUCAAUGAAUCAUCAUAUUCUGCCAGCUGUCGUAUACUCACUGGCAUUCCAAGGCUAUAAUUUGGUCAUUUCUAUUUGAGAAUCUGUUACAUUCAGUCUUUGUUGGAGAAUAAUAAAUUAAUAAUCAACAUCUACUUUUCUCAGCUCCUUUAAGUUUUUUGUGUGGUUGUUACAGGGGAGAUGGCCUNNNNNNNNNNNNNNNNNNNNNNNNNNNNNNNNNNNNNNNNNNNNNNNNNNNNNNNNNNNNNNNNNNNNNNNNNNNNNNNNNNNNNNNNNNNNNNNNNNNNNNNAGGGGAGAUGGCCUAUAAAUGUGUGGCAGGUAGAGAGUACCCAGCAAUGAAAUAAAACUGGUCAUCCCUCUUACUUUCUGUUCAUCCCUGGGAUAAAACUGGUCAUGCCUCUUAACUUUUCCGUUCAGCCUUGAAUAAAUAAAACUGGUCAUUUUAUACUUACAUGUGUUUUGUGUUGGGAUUUGGGAUAAUGGUCCUAUAAAGGUGUUCCCUGCUAGUUUUGCAUCAGGAAUGUGAGUAUGAAGCUAUGUUGCCAAGGUACGGGUACGGUACCCGAUACAGGUGCGGGUACUGGUACGGGAUACAACAUUUUGAAAAGAUUUAAGAUACGGGUACGUUAAUACAAAAUAUCAAAAUAAUUAUAUUUUGAGUGAAUUUGUCCACCACCUCAACUAUUUUCAUCAAAAGCAAGAUAAAUAAUUAAUAUGUAAUAAAAAAUUAAAACAUUUUAUGCUAUUUUUAAACCAUCUGCACAUUUUUGCCGUAUCCACCACCCCGAAUCAAUCAAAUAACAAUGGAUUUUGAUUUGUAAGUACCCAGCGAGUACCAUGCAAGUAUCCGGUACUGGUGCGUACCCGGUACGGGUACUUCACCAUUUUAGGAGUACCCAUACUAUGAAGAUUCGGUAUUUUACCAUUUUAGGAGUAUCCAUACCGGUACAGGUACUUCACCAUUUUAGGAGUACCCAUACUAUGCAAGUAUCCGGUAUGAUACAAGAUUCUGAGCCUUUUGAAUUUAACGGGUAUUGUUUCUUCCUUGAAUGUAGAUGUCCAUCUCUUUCUUAGAUAAUCAAGAUAUACACGUUUGUUUUGCAGUAAGCUGAGGCUUAGACAUCUAGAAUGUUGGGAUGCUUCAUAGAAUGGAUAAGAAAGGAGGGUCAAGUUAAAUCCAAUUACUUCAACAUGGUGUUUUUCAGUUUUGGGCUUUGUGAUCAAGACAUUCACAAAUUGAAUUGCGAAUCUUUUUCUUUUCAGUAUAUCAAUUAUGAGUUCAUAUAUAUUUAAGUAGUUAUUUUCCUCUUUGGUGUUGCAGGAGAGGUAAUCUACAAACACGCAAUCCCUUAUGGUUCUGUCUUCCUCUUUUUGAUCUUCAAGUUUUGUAUUCUCACUUUUGUAUUGUCACUUUUUUCAAAAAAUAAAAGUUGUGUAUUCUCACUUUUGUAUUCUCACUUUUUUCAGAAUUUCUUGAAUGAACAUUCUUUUUAAAUUUUUAUUUCUUGGCUUUGAUGCAUAAUAAGUGAAUUGAACAAAUUUUUAUGAGAGCAAAUUUUUUUUUUAUUUGCUAUUCAGUGCUGUAGAAAUUUUAUGAUUCUAAAGGUUUUGUUUGUUCUGGUUUCCUCUGUGAUGACAUAAUUUAAUGGUUUGUUGCUCGGGAUCUAUGUUGACAUCCUUCUCUCAGAUCUGUUAUCACAUUUCUCUUGACUCUUAUUUUACGGAUAUCUUUCCAUUAAUUCUUCAUUUGGUAAUCCAGAUAUCCUUUAUCCUUUUUUGCAGCGAGCUGAAAGUCUUUAUAUUUGAACUUCUUAAUACAAUGGACAAAAACUGAGAAUGGCUCCAGAUAGAUAAAUCAAAUUUCUUCCAAUGCGUUGUUCUUAUUGAUUUUAAUAUCUGGGAUUUGAUUUCAAAUAUAAAUUGAAUUUUGAACCUUUUUUCUUUCUUUUUUUUUCUUUUUCUGCAGAGUGAUUUGUCAAACUAAUAAAAUUCUUCGUAGCAUGGAGCCAGCUUUUUAUUUUGGUGAUGUUGAUUAAAUUUUGAUUUCAAACUUUCAAUUCAGAGAGCAUAUAUUUUGUGUACAUAGAUUUCUUGGUUUCUUCUGGUUCUAUUUAUCUUCUCUUGUUUGAUCUUCGUGAGUUUUUUUUAUUCUUUUGUUUCUUAUUUCGUCUUUUGAUUCUAAUGUUUGAUAUGUUUAUGGUUGUUUUCAAUGAUAAAGUUGUUGUUCAUAUUUUAAUUGUCUGAAUAUUGAGCAUACUGGAGUUCUCAUGUGAGUUUUUAAGUUUCCAAUGUUUUCUCAUAAAAUGAUAAUAAUUUGUGGAUUGGUACAUAUUAUCAUCCCGGGUUGAAUUUGAAUUCAAACAGGUAUCUGUUUUUUGCAGUGUGUCUUGGAACAGUAAUGUUGUGUGGUAUCAAGUAUACAGGUUUAUUUUGGCACACUCUUCAUUUCAUGGUGAACUGAUCAAAUCAUAUAGACUCUGAAUCAUUUUCAUUCAUUCUAUAUUUUAGUGUCCAGUCUUCUUGAUCUACUCUUUUAUGAUCUUUAAUUGAGAUUAGUUUAUUUGAUAUGCGAGGAGGGUUGGUGGUUAUAUCUGAAAGGUUUAUCCUUAGGUUUUAUUGCCCUAUCACAUGACUGUUUUCUUACAUUGAAGAUUUUGACAUGAAAUUUGACAGUGUAAAUUUUUUCACAAUUUUUAAAAAAUUGGAACAGCUUUGUGGGGCUCUCUCUCUGUAACUGCGAUCUGCAGAUUAAUGGUUUGGUUUGGAGAAUUAUGCUAAUCUUUUUCGUUAUAUUUUCUACAAUGUGUCACUACCCCAUCAUACUAUUGUUUUCUUACAUUUUGGUUUAUGACAUGUAAUCUGACAGCCAAAGUUAACACAAUUGGGACAGCAUUGUGGGGUUCUUUUCUGUAACUAUGAUCUUUUUAUUAGUGGCUUGGUUUGGAGAAAUAUUUCUUUUUUUUCUUGAUAUUUCUACAAUUAUUUGUCGCUACGUGAUUUUUCUACACAUGUAUCAUCUGGUGUUCACAGGGUAUGUGUUACUAGGGUUUGUUGUGCAACUAAUCUCCUAUCUCAAUAACACUGCACCAGGUUAAUUUUGGUCUAUGAAGUGGAGAAAUAGGAGAUAAGUGCCUCUUCCCUUUGUACUACUAAUCUACUCUCAACCAAUUUACAUGUAUCAACCAGUUAUGUUGCGAAGCUUAAAGGAUAUCCUCUUCAUAACCGUGGCCCAAGGACUCCUCUGCUGGCUGUGUUGUAUACUAUCUACUGGUGCUAGGCUAUAAUUUGGUCAUCUCUACUGAGGCUCUUUACAAUUCAGUCUUUGUUUGAUAAUAAUCAGUAUCUACUUUCGUCAAUUUCUUUGAGUUUUCUGUGUGGGUUUGACAUGGGAUAUUUGUGGCAGGCAAAGAGCUGAACUAUGGUUAUUAUCAGAGAGAUGAAGAUUGGUUAUUAUUGGAGAAUGCGUUCAGAUAAUCCACAUUUUUUCAAUGAGUCAUUCUUUAUUUUAAAUUUUGUGCUUUGAGCACAUGAUAUAUUUCAAUGAGUCAUUCUUUAUUUUAAAUUUUGUGCUUUUUCUGCAGCUUGGUUUGUGAAAAUAAUGUCUUCUGUCAACACAUGGAGCCUCAAGUUUUGAUUUGCUGUUGCCCAGUAAAUUCGUUUUGUUUCAAUCUUUAUUGAUUUUUUUUUACAAGCAAUCUUUAUUGAUUUUGAAAGCAUAUAUUUCUUGAUUUAUGAUUUACUCUUCGGUGCUGUUGGAAUUUUAUCCUCCUAAAGGUUUCUUUUGGUUUGCUCCGUGAUGUCAGUGUUUGCGGUUCUACUUUCUUUGAUCUGCUUCAAUAAUCUAGAUUGCUAGGGAUUGACAUAGUAACAUGAGUUUUUCCAGAUCUGUUGUCACACUUCGAAUGACUCUUACUUUACGAAUAGAUAAUCAAAUUACUUCUACAUGUUCUUUUCAGUUGGAGGGUCAAGAUAAAUCCAAUUACUUCAACAUGGUGUUCUUUUCAGUUUUGGGCUUUGUGAUUAAAACAUAUACAAAUUGAUUUGCAAAUCUUUUUUCCUUCAGUAUAUCGAUUCUGAGUUCAUAUAUAUUUUGGAGUAGUUAUUUUCCUCUUUGGUGUUGCAGGAGAGGUUAUCUACGAACACGCAAUCCCUUAUGAAUUGCUGUUUUCAAAUUACUGCUACAUGUUCUUUUCAGUUGGAGGGUCAAGAUAAAU
Molecule: long non-coding RNA, 6975 nt
Filed under: Trifolium pratense (red clover)
Lineage: Eukaryota; Viridiplantae; Streptophyta; Magnoliopsida; Fabales; Fabaceae
Description: long non-coding RNA (TPRA_LNC013612)
Source: RNAcentral